This is a transfer RNA of Loxodonta africana (African savanna elephant), 72 nucleotides long. It matches the Rfam family "tRNA". Rfam says of the family: Transfer RNA (tRNA) molecules are approximately 80 nucleotides in length. Their secondary structure includes four short double-helical elements and three loops (D, anti-codon, and T loops). The record is from Rfam. Lineage: Eukaryota; Metazoa; Chordata; Mammalia; Proboscidea; Elephantidae.
AGCUGCUGGCGCAGUGGUUAAAGCAAUCAACUGCUAACUGAAGGGUUGGUGGUUCGAAACCACCAGCAGCUC